RNAcentral lists this long non-coding RNA (482 nucleotides) under Elaeis guineensis (African oil palm). RNAcentral describes it as "long non-coding RNA (EGUI_LNC059733)". Lineage: Eukaryota; Viridiplantae; Streptophyta; Magnoliopsida; Arecales; Arecaceae. The record is from RNAcentral.
GUGGGGCAUCUCUCUGAACCCCCUCGACCGUUCGAGCUUCCAUAAUACCAUCCGGACUUCUCCGACAAUGAGCUUCUCUACCAGUCUACCGGGCCGCCCCAAAGGCUCUCCGAACUUCACUAUCAGUCGAUCUUCUAUAGUAACCAACUAUUCUCCGAAUCUCUUUCGGACUUCUCCCAGCCACGAUCGACUUUACUCCGAACUCCUUUUGGGCUUCAUCAAUGUCCGAGCUUUCCCAACAACAGGGCUUCUGCAAUAGUCAGGUUUCAUCCAAGUUUCUACGGUGGUCGACCGCUUUCUGAAUUUUAUCUAGGCUCCUAUGGGAGCCAAAUUCCAGAUGAACUUCUACUACGAGCGGUCUACUUCGAACUUCUACUACGGGUGGUCUACUCCGAACUCCUACAGCGGGCGGUCUACCCCGGAUAUCUAUUGUAAACAAAUUCCAUCCAGACUCCUCAAGCAGUCGACCUUCAACAGUCCCA